RNAcentral lists this ribosomal RNA (433 nucleotides) under uncultured bacterium. RNAcentral describes it as "partial 16S ribosomal RNA". It matches the Rfam family "Bacterial small subunit ribosomal RNA", at positions 29 to 507 of the family's 1533-position model. The record is from RNAcentral.
AACGAACGCUGGCGGCAUGCCUAACACAUGCAAGUCGAACGAGACCUUCGGGUCUAGUGGCGCACGCGUGCGUAACGUGUGGGAACCUGCCCUUAGGCUCGGAAUAACUCCCCGAAAGGGGUGCUAAUACCGGGUAAUUUCUGCUGAUCCAAGAUUGAUCGUCCUAGGUUGGGCCCGCGUUGGUUUAGCUUGUUGGUAGGGUAAAAGCCUACCACGGCGACGCUCCAUAGCUGGUCUGAGAGGAUGAUCAGCCACACUGGGACGGAGACACGGCCCAGACUCUUACGGGAGGCAGCAGUGGGGAAUAUUGGAAAACGGCGGAAAGCCUGAACGAGCAAUGCCGCGUGAGUGAUGAAGGCCGUAGGGUUGUAAAGCUCUUUUACCCGGGAUGAUAAUGACAGUACCGGGAGAAUAAGCACCGGCUAACUCCGUG